GCGGCUCAGCGGUACAUAUACUAAAAUUAGAACGACACCGAGAAGAAUAGUAUGGUUCCUGUGCAAGGAUGACAUUCAAAUUCAUAAACCGUUCCAUAUAAUU
This is a small nuclear RNA of Oryctes borbonicus, 103 nucleotides long. NCBI's taxonomy places the organism in Eukaryota, Metazoa, Arthropoda, Insecta, Coleoptera, Scarabaeidae. The record is from Rfam.